UACGUAGGUGGCGAGCGUUAUCCGGAAUUACUGGGUGUAAAGGGAGCGCAGGCGGGACAGCAAGUCAGCGGUGAAAAUUACGGGCUUAACCCGUAAACUGCCGUUGAAACUGUUGUUCUUGAGUGGAGUAGAGGCAGGCGGAAUUCCGAGUGUAGCGGUGAAAUGCGUAGAUAUUCGGAGGAACACCGGUGGCGAAGGCGGCCUGCUGGGCUCUAACUGACGCUGAGGCUCGAAAGUGUGGGGAGCAAAC
RNAcentral lists this ribosomal RNA (250 nucleotides) under uncultured prokaryote. RNAcentral describes it as "partial 16S ribosomal RNA". It matches the Rfam family "Bacterial small subunit ribosomal RNA", at positions 524 to 773 of the family's 1533-position model. The record is from RNAcentral.